Molecule: long non-coding RNA, 1179 nt
Organism: Vanessa tameamea
Lineage: Eukaryota; Metazoa; Arthropoda; Insecta; Lepidoptera; Nymphalidae
Exons: 3
Source: RefSeq, a predicted model, not a curated record
AGUUUUGAUUUAAAAAGAUCGAUAAACAAUAAAUUACAAAUACUUAAUAACUCCGAUUUUUAUGGAAUAUAAUGUUCAUUUCAGAACCUUAAGCUUAUGAAUUAGUGUUACAUGUUUUUACGAUUUUACCUACUGUGUAAAUGCCAUCUCAAUAUGGAUAUGAGUUUACUUGACACAGUCUUGACUACAUUUGGUGUUUUAUUAACCAUGGCUUUAUUAAGCUGUCUUUGCUGUUUGUGUAUGAAAUUCAGUGACCUAAAAAUGCAACGCUACAUAUUAGAAUUGGCAAAACGGAAGGGAGUACAUAUUGAUGUUGAAAAAUUAAGUCCAAAAUACAGUACACAAUCACCAUUGGCGAAGGAGAAUUGUACUAUUAUUAUCCCUGAUGUUGCUAUUAUUCUAUAGUAAAAUAGCAACAUUGUGACAGGUUUUCAAAUUUAACAAUACUAAUACUAGUACAUACUAGUACAUAAGUAUCACUAGUACACAAUGUAUAUGUGCUAACAAUUAUCUAAUUUGUGUUAUUCUUGAAAAAUGCACAGAAAUAUUGUAACUUUUUUAUAUUGACUUGCAGAACAAACUAUCUAGAAAUAAAACAGAUUCAUAUUCACUCAGCCUACAAUCUGCUUGACUAUGAAACAAAUCUUACAAUUCCUUUAUUUAGUCAAAUAAAAUGCCUCACAUUUGACAGAACUGACAUUUUCCAAGCGAUGUAAAAAGUAGUGUACAGUAAGGACCGCAUGGAUUGGUGGCAAGAAUGUAAGCAUUUCCUCCUUUGAAUCGCAAUUACGAUUCUUUCUUAGACAAAAAUGAACCAGCCCUACUGUAUAAGUUAUGUAUUAAAAUACAACUAAUAUGUUAUUUUAUAAAUGUUAUUAAAACUAAUAUUUUAUAGAAACCUCCUGUUUCUUAAGGUAAAUAGUUCAAAUGUACCAAAGAUAUUUAUUAAGAUGGCAUAGAAUUUUAAAUUUAUAGUCUGUAUUGCCUUAGAAUGUGUCUUCUUAUUAGAAUAAGCUUCAGUUUAUCUUAAAAACACAGUAUUUAAAAAUAAAUCAAGUAAUACUGCAGUUAUUUAAGCUUGUGCCUCAAUUUUCUCAAUUUUUGAUGUAUUCAUAUACAAUAUUUUAUAACAGAUAACUGAUUCUUAUAAACUGUAGGUGGUCUAGUAAUAUAGUGAAU